This 76-nucleotide transfer RNA is filed under the name Methanobacteriota archaeon. RNAcentral's name for it is "Euryarchaeota archaeon tRNA-Ala(tgc)". It matches the Rfam family "tRNA". Rfam says of the family: Transfer RNA (tRNA) molecules are approximately 80 nucleotides in length. Their secondary structure includes four short double-helical elements and three loops (D, anti-codon, and T loops). Further hydrogen bonds mediate the characteristic L-shaped molecular structure. tRNAs have two regions of fundamental functional importance: the anti-codon, which is responsible for specific mRNA codon recognition, and the 3' end, to which the tRNAs corresponding amino acid is attached (by aminoacyl-tRNA synthetases). tRNAs cope with the degeneracy of the genetic code in two manners: having more than one tRNA (with a specific anti-codon) for a particular amino acid; and 'wobble' base-pairing, i.e. permitting non-standard base-pairing at the 3rd anti-codon position. RNAcentral also lists the same sequence under 1 other name. The record is from RNAcentral. Lineage: Archaea; Methanobacteriati; Methanobacteriota.
GGGCGCUUAGCUCAGUUGGAAGAGUGCUUGGUUUGCAACCAAGAUGCCGGGGGUUCAAAUCCCCCAGCGUCCACCA